UACCUACUACUUAGUACCUACUACUUAGUACCUACUGCAUACUGCUACUACUAUCAUUCGAUAGCUUAGAUUGAAAUGCAUCGAAUCACGUAGAUCGAUGACGACGCCUUCUAGAUCCUUGAGUUCCCCCAAGUUUCCCCGAGAUUCCCCAAGUUUCCCUGAGUUUUCCCGAGUUUCCCGAGUUCCCUGGAUUCCGUGAGCCGAGCUCAUUGAAUCUUCGCACUGUAAUGAUGGGAAACUUGCAAGCAGUCUCUAAUGCCAAUUUCCUUAUCCGUUCUGUUUUCUCUCUCUCUCGUUUUUUAUUUGUUUGUUUGUCUCUUCGACUCUCUUCUUCUUUGGCCAAUAAUAUUUUACAGUCGAACUCAAUCAACGUCGGCUUCCUGCGUUUAUUUCGAGCGGCGCGACUUAUCAAAUUACUUCGACAAGGAUACACGAUUCGAAUUCUGCUGUGGACAUUUGUGCAAUCCUUUAAGGCACUUCCCUAUGUCUGUUUGCUUAUAGCCAUGCUAUUUUUCAUAUACGCCAUUAUUGGCAUGCAGGUGUUCGGGAAUAUCAAACUAGGUACGGUGGAAAAUUCCAUUACUAGACACAACAACUUCCAAUCAUUUGAGCAAGGCGUCAUGUUGCUAUUCAGGUGUGCAACUGGCGAGGCCUGGCCCAACAUAAUGCUGGCAUGUUUGAAGGGCAAGGCCUGCGACGAUGACGCCGAGAAGGCACCUGGGGAGUACUGCGGAUCCACACUGGCCUACGCCUACUUCGUAUCGUUUAUAUUCUUCUGCUCCUUCCUGAUGCUGAAUCUGUUCGUCGCCGUCAUCAUGGAUAAUUUCGAUUAUCUCACCAGGGACUCCAGCAUAUUGGGUGCCCAUCACUUAGACGAAUUUGUGCGCAUAUGGGCGGAAUAUGAUCCAAAUGCGACUGGAAAGAUACACUACACGGAAAUGUACGACAUGCUGAAGAACAUGGAUCCACCGUUGGGCUUUGGCAACAAGUGUCCCAAUCGACUGGCCUACAAGAAACUGAUUAGAAUGAAUAUGCCACUGGACGAUGAAUUGAGAGUUCAGUUCACCACAACGUUAUUCGCUUUGAUUCGCGAGAAUCUCAGCAUCAAAAUGAGAGCGCCUGAGGAGAUGGACCAGGCGGACAUGGAACUGCGGGAGACCAUCACGAACAUCUGGCCAUUGCAGGCGAAGAAGAUGCUGAACCUGCUGGUCCCGCCCAGCGAUCAGCUCAACAAGGGCAAACUGUCAGUGGGUAAAAUCUAUGCAGGUUUCCUCAUCCUGGAGUCCUGGCGCAGCACGCGGUUCGGCCAACUCGAUUCGGGAAUGCCGCGGAAGAAGCUGGAGCACGACGAUGAGCAUAAAUAUAGCCCAACGGCAGUCGAGGAGCCGAAACAAUCAUUCUUUAACUGCCUCCUCGAUAUGGCCGCCCUUGACAAAGGAGGAUCGCGUCAGGGCUCCAUAAGUUUCGAGCCGAAUGGGGAAGGAGCCGCCAACUCACAAACACAUUUGUUAGCCAGCACGCACCACCACCACGCAAACGGUGAUGCCGAACACAACAGUUUGGCAACACUGGCACGGCGGAGUACGAUCAGAAAGCGAUCAGUUAGAAACAAAAAGGUGAAUAAGUUUGAUAAACUCCAAGCGAUGCUGGAGCUGCAGGACGCAUCGAGACACCCAUCGCAGGAGUCGCUAACCGGUGCCGAUGCUGGCCAUCUACAUCCUGGACAUUCGUACAUGAAUGGCCAUCGGCGAUCGCCUAGCCUGAGGCACAACGGCUCUCCACUGGCCAGAUCUCCGAGUCCUCGACGGCGUGGCCAUCAAUACAUACAUCAUGAUAUCGGGUUCUCCGAUACCGUAUCUAAUGUUGUAGAGAUGGUCAAGGAGACUCGCCAUCCUAGGCAUGGCAACAGUCAUCCGCGGUAUCCAAGAGGUUCAUGGUCAGCAUCGACAAGUCCGGCCCGUUCGCCUUCGCCUUCUCGAUAUGGUGGUCAUUUGUCUCGCAGUAAACGCACUCAACUGCCUUAUCCCACAUAUGGGACAACCAGUCUAUGUCAAAGAUCACGAUCGCCGAGUCCCGCUAGACUUCAGGAGAUGCGUGAACGAGACAGACUUGGUUAUGGGAUUGAUAUGGGUGUAACGCAUGUACAGCACAGUUACCCUACACUGGCCUCCCGAAGAGCCGGCAUCGGAAGACGGCUUCCUCCGACGCCCAGCAAACCGUCAACACUGCAGCUCAAGCCAACCAAUAUCAAUUUCCCCAAACUGAAUGCCAGUCCCACACAUACACACCACUCAACGCCCCACAGUGUUCACUCGCUACCACACCACCGCGACCUGCUGCGAGAUCCGAGGGACAUGUACUACAGUAGUAGAGAACGCGAGCGGGAUCGCGAACGCCUUAGGGAUCGGGAUCGGGAUCGGGAUCGCGAGAGGGAUCGCGAUCGCCUGCACGAGUACGACCUGCGCUACGAGUACCGGGAUCGGGAGCGGGAGUUGUACGAGCGCGAAAGAGAUCGCGAGCGGGAGGUCGAAAGAGAAAGACUGGAAUAUAUAGCACCGCUGUCAUUCGAACAAGCGCUGGCUAUGGGCCGAACAGGUCGUGUACUGCCAUCUCCAGUUCUAAAUGGUUUUAAGCCAAAGAGUGGUCUGAACCCUCGACACUCCGAUUCGGAUGAGGAGGAUUGGUGCUAGCAAAGGCUUUGAUUGCGAUCGCGUAAUCGAAAGGAUCAGAUCUGGGUAUAGCAUCAGGCCAUUUGCUCCUCGUUGUCAGCACCAAACUUAGAUCACAAUUUUGAUACGAUACGACACAGCUAUCAGAUACCCGAACAUCAGCGAACCCAUCCAUACCUUUGUCCACUAGUACACCAACACCAACACCAACAUUUACACCAACACCUACACCACCUACACCAACGACCACACCAAGAGCAGCACCUAUAUCAAAGCUUACAGGAAUUAAACCCAAAUCGACAACCGCAAUCGCAACAGAAGCAGGAGCAACAAUUUCAUCAGGAUGGGUGGCUCAGAUGGUACCGGCAAGCGGUUCCAUACGGAUCCCCGGUGAUGGCAUCAUUACCGGAGACCAGAACAACAUCGCCCCACUCCGAUAUCGAAUUCAUUAGAAAUAUGAAGAGAAGUGAAACCGGAACAACUGCAAUAACACCAAGGACAACUAAAACUGAAGCAAUGAUAUUAAGCGUACCAAUUACAAUAACGUCCCCAUUAGCUAUUAAAAAGAUAUAUUCAGAUAAUGACAUUAAUUAUAAUACCGAACGAGGAACUGACAAUGACAGAGUGGAGGAUGCACCAGCUCAUCAUUAUCGCCAGCCAGAACUAACUACACCAGAUCUACAACAACACGAGCCACCACUGCAGCAGCAGCACCAUCAGCACGAUCCGCAGUAUUCGUAUCAUACGCUCUAAGGAGGACAGGAUCAAGAACGAGCAUCCAUUAUCCAAAGUUCAUAGUCCAGACACCAGUAUUCAGUAUCCAGAAUCCAGAGACUAGUAUCCAGAAUACAGAAUCCAGUAUCCAGAAUCAAGUAUCCAGUAUCCAGAAUCAAGUAUCCAGAAACCAGAAAGCAGAUCCACUAAAAGUGCAACUUUAAUUGAAACUCAAACUGAAACUGAAACCGAAACCGAAACGAGGUGUAAUGAAUGUGUGAGAGACCCUAUUCCACGCAAUGGGAGUAGAAGUGGGGAGAUUGUAAACAGAUUAGAGCUACUAUUUGCUUAGAAAUAGGAGUAGACAAGAACAUAAUUUUAGAUAUGAAUAUGAUCAAGUGUAUUGUACUUUUUUUUAAUGUAAGGGCAAGUCUAGACGAAGAGCACAUCAAAAUGAAGCUAACGACGAUAACAGAACUCUUUCAAGCAGAACACACACACACACACACACACACACACAUAGAUCUAGGUCGAAAAUACAUAGGAAAUAAAGAUUGUAGGUACUCGCAUACAUUGUAAGUUAUCUAGGAUUUAGCUCGAGGAAUCGGUACGAUAAUCUGCAAGCGUUUUUGACUUGUUUGUAUUUAAAGUUAGUCAUUCAAUUGUAUGUGUACUUAAAUGCGGCAUUUUAUUUAUUCAAUGUACAUACCAGAUAAUUGUAGAUAUCAAAUAGCUUCUUUUUUUUUUUGUUUUUUUUUUUGUAUGUGUAUGUAAUAUAUUUACCUACGACUACUAUUAUAAAUACUUUCAUCAAAACGAAACCCGAUAGCGAAUAUUAGCGCAAUUUAAUGCCCUACGAUUUGUAUAUUCAGUUCUGUAUUUAUACUCGUGCGGAUACUUUUUUCAAUGAUUAGAAGAACUCCACACUAUAUGGCAAAUCCAUCAUAUUGAAUCCGAAACUAAAUCCAAAUAACUCAAUUAUGACCAAAGCAAGUAUCUGUAAAGUAAGCAUCGUUCAGUGCCAUUUGUGUAUACAGACUUUAGCAAUUUACAAUAGCUUAUUUAUCAUAAUCUUUCCCUUAGCAAAUGGAACGUUGUAUUCAUAGUUUUCAUAGUUUUCAUAGUUACUCUGUAAUCUGCAAGAAUCUGCGAAGAAAGGUUUAUGCUUCUGUUAAUGUAUUUCGUAUGCUGAAAUUAGCUCCUCGCAAACUUUCCGAUCAGUUGAAAGAACUCGAUGUCCAUAUGUAUUUAUAUAUAACGAGCAGGCCAUUGUUUCCACAAAACAUAAACAUGUGUAGAUAUAAUAUAUACACCUCCGACUCCUCAUACUCGAAUUGAAUGUGUAAAAAUGUAAUGUGUAAAAAUGCAGAGCUCAUGGCACACCAAACGUAAUGAUGUAUUCAAAUAUAUAGCCAUGCACACAGCCCCUCCAA
This 4816-nucleotide unclassified non-coding RNA is filed under the name Drosophila yakuba. RNAcentral's name for it is "GE28689". Lineage: Eukaryota; Metazoa; Arthropoda; Insecta; Diptera; Drosophilidae. The record is from RNAcentral.